GAUAAUGAUUUUUAAACAACUACAACAAUAUGAAUUUGUCAGUUGUAAAACAAAUUUAUAUACCUCAAUGAAAAAAAUACCCAAAAAGAAAAAGGAAAAAAGAUGUAAUUAUUAGCAUUGCUAUUGACACAAAUGUAAUAUGUGGGAUAUUGUCAGAAAUCUUAAUUAACGUAAUCCGUAAUUACAUAAAUCUUAAUUGAAAUCAUUCUCAAAAUAAUCAUAAUUAAAAUACUUAAAAAAAAAAAGAAAAAAAAA
This is a long non-coding RNA of Bombus pascuorum, 255 nucleotides long. RefSeq lists it as uncharacterized. NCBI's taxonomy places the organism in Eukaryota, Metazoa, Arthropoda, Insecta, Hymenoptera, Apidae. The record is from RefSeq and is a predicted model, not a curated record. The transcript is spliced from 2 exons.